Molecule: ribosomal RNA, 333 nt
Filed under: Flabelligera affinis
Lineage: Eukaryota; Metazoa; Annelida; Polychaeta; Terebellida; Flabelligeridae
Description: SSU rRNA
Rfam family: Eukaryotic small subunit ribosomal RNA
Source: RNAcentral
UAGCCGGGUCUCCUCGGGUGCUCUUGGUUGAGUGUCUUGGGGCGGCCUGGCCCGUUUACUUUGAGCAAACAGAAGUGAUCAAAGCAGGCAGUUCACAAAUGUGUGCCACUGAACUGGUCGUGCAUGGAAUAAUGGAAUAGGACCUCGGUUCUGUUGGGUUGGUUUCUGGAGUCCGAGGCAAUGAUUAAAAGGGACAGACGGGGGCAUUCUUAUUGCGGCGGGAAAGGUGACAUUUUUAUUUCGCCGCAAGACCCUCUACUGCGAAACCAUUUGCCAAGAAUGUUUUCCUUAUUCAAAAAACGAAAGUCGGAGGUUCAAAGACAAUCAUAUCCC